This 587-nucleotide ribosomal RNA is filed under the name uncultured beta proteobacterium. RNAcentral's name for it is "bacterial SSU rRNA". It matches the Rfam family "Bacterial small subunit ribosomal RNA", at positions 338 to 916 of the family's 1533-position model. The record is from RNAcentral. Lineage: Bacteria; Pseudomonadati; Pseudomonadota; Betaproteobacteria.
CCUACGGGAGGCAGCAGUGGGGAAUUUUGGACAAUGGGCGCAAGCCUGAUCCAGCCAUACCGCGUGAGUGAAGAAGGCCUUCGGGUUGUAAAGCUCUUUCAGCCGGAAAGAAAUCGCACUGGUUAACACCUUGUGUGGAUGACGGUACCGGAAGAAGAAGCACCGGCUAACUACGUGCCAGCAGCCGCGGUAAUACGUAGGGUGCGAGCGUUAAUCGGAAUUACUGGGCGUAAAGCGUGCGCAGGCGGUUUUGUAAGACAGAUGUGAAAUCCCCGGGCUCAACCUGGGAACUGCAUUUGUGACUGCAAGACUAGAGUGUAGCAGAGGGGGGUAGAAUUCCACGUGUAGCAGUGAAAUGCGUAGAKAUGUGGAGGAAUACCGAUGGCGAAGGCAGCCCCCUGGGYUAACACUGACGCUCAUGCACGAAAGCGUGGGGAGCAAACAGGAUUAGAUACCCUGGUAGUCCACGCCCUAAACGAUGUCAACUAGGUGUUGGGGAAGGAGACUUCUUUAGUACCGCAGCUAACGCGUGAAGUUGACCGCCUGGGGAGUACGGUCGCAAGAUUAAAACUCAAAGGAAUUGACGG